Molecule: ribosomal RNA, 468 nt
Filed under: uncultured bacterium
Lineage: Bacteria
Description: partial 16S ribosomal RNA
Rfam family: Bacterial small subunit ribosomal RNA
Source: RNAcentral
GACGAACGCUGGCGGCGUGCUUAACACAUGCAAGUCGAACGGAAAGGCCCUGCUUUUGUGGGGUGCUCGAGUGGCGAACGGGUGAGUAACACGUGAGUAACCUGCCCUUGACUUUGGGAUAACUUCAGGAAACUGGGGCUAAUACCGGAUAGGAGCUCCUGCUGCAUGGUGGGGGUUGGAACGUUUCGGCGGGUGGGGAUGGACUCGCGGCUUAUCAGCUUGUUGGUGGGGUAGUGGCUUACCAAGGCUUUGACGGGUAGCCGGCCUGAGAGGGUGACCGGCCACAUUGGGACUGAGAGACGGCCCAGACUCCUACGGGAGGCAGCAGGGGGGAAUAUUGCACAAUGGGCGGAAGCCUGAUGCAGCAACGCCGCGUGCGGGAUGACGGCCUUCGGGUUGUAAACCGCUUUCGCCUGUGACGAAGCGUGAGUGACGGUAAUGGGUAAAGAAGCACCGGCUAACUACGUG